RNAcentral lists this microRNA (21 nucleotides) under Schistosoma japonicum. RNAcentral describes it as "sja-miR-8-5p". Its record names the gene sja-miR-8-5p. The record is from miRBase by way of RNAcentral. Lineage: Eukaryota; Metazoa; Platyhelminthes; Trematoda; Strigeidida; Schistosomatidae.
CAUCUUACUAAUAGUAUUUGA